UGGGGAAUUUUGGACAAUGGGGGCAACCCUGAUCCAGCAAUGCCGCGUGAGUGAAGAGGGCCUUCGGGUUGUAAAGCUCUUUUGUCAGGGAAGAAACGGUAGUAGCGAAUAACUAUUACUAAUGACGGUACCUGAAGAAUAAGCACCGGCUAACUACGUGCCAGCAGCCGCGGUAAUACGUAGGGUGCAAGCGUUAAUCGGAAUUACUGGGCGUAAAGCGUGCGCAGGCGGUUGUGUAAGCCAGAUGUGAAAUCCCCGGGCUCAACCUGGGAAUUGCAUUUGAGACUGCACGGCUAGAGUGUGUCAGAGGGGGGUAGAGUUCCACGUGUAGCAGUGAAAUGCGUAGAUAUGUGGAGGAAUACCGAUGGCGAAGGCAGCCCCCUGGGAUAACACUGACGCUCAUGCACGAAAGCGUGGGGAGCAAACAGGAUUAGAUACCCAAGUAGUCCCUGAGCGGGCUGGCAAGGCGCAU
RNAcentral lists this ribosomal RNA (472 nucleotides) under uncultured bacterium. RNAcentral's name for it is "bacterial SSU rRNA". It matches the Rfam family "Bacterial small subunit ribosomal RNA", at positions 355 to 825 of the family's 1533-position model. The record is from RNAcentral.